GACGAACGCUGGCGGCGUGCCUAAUACAUGCAAGUCGAGCGCAGGAAGCCGUCUGAACCCUUCGGGGGGACGACGGUGGAAUGAGCGGCGGACGGGUGAGUAACACGUAAAGAACCUGCCCAUAGGUCUGGGAUAACCACGAGAAAUCGGGGCUAAUACCGGAUGUGUCAUCGGACCGCAUGGUCCGCUGAUGAAAGGCGCUCCGGCGUCGCCCAUGGAUGGCUUUGCGGUGCAUUAGCUAGUUGGUGGGGUAACGGCCCACCAAGGCGACGAUGCAUAGCCGACCUGAGCGGGUGAUCGGCCACACUGGGACUGAGCCACGGCCCAGACUCCUACGGGAGGCAGCAGUAGGGAAUCUUCCACAAUGGACGAAAGUCUGAUGGAGCAACGCCGCGUGAACGAUGAAGGCUUUCGGGUCGUAAAGUUCUGUUGUAAGGGAAGAACAAGUGCCGCAGGCAAUGGCGGCACCUUGACGGUACCUUGCGAGAAAGCCACGGCUAACUACGUGCCAGCAGCCGCAGUAA
Molecule: ribosomal RNA, 524 nt
Filed under: uncultured bacterium
Lineage: Bacteria
Description: partial 16S ribosomal RNA
Rfam family: Bacterial small subunit ribosomal RNA
Source: RNAcentral